This 1121-nucleotide long non-coding RNA is filed under the name Chinchilla lanigera (long-tailed chinchilla). RNAcentral describes it as "lncRNA (ENSCLAG00000028998.1)". The record is from RNAcentral. Lineage: Eukaryota; Metazoa; Chordata; Mammalia; Rodentia; Chinchillidae.
GACCCCCGGCCCCGCGCUGCCGGAACCUCGCCGCCGAAAUCUGCGGAAGGCAGGCCACGCCGUCCGCCCCGGCCCGCCAGGUGCCCGGAGGCGAGAACGGGCGUCGAGGGCAGCGCCCUCCCCGGGCGCAGCCGGGCACCCGACCCUCGAUGAGCAGCAUCCGCGGGCGAGGACACAGAACGCCGGGGCGCUCGGGGCCCGGACAGAGGAUGGAGCCGGUGUCACGGUGUUGGCGAAGUCGCGCUCACCCUAGCGGGGAGCAGCGCUCGUCCCCGAGGAGGAAGCGACGGCCCCGCGACGGCCCGACGGGGGGCGGCCUCGGGCGCUGAAGGAAUGCGGAGGGGGCCGGGCCGGGCGGGCCGCCAGUUUCCAUGAUGCGGGGGGCGGGCUCGCCGAGGGGCUCGGGCGGGCGUCCAGGCUGCGCGGCGGCCGGGCCCCUCGGGAGAAUUUCCGGCCUGGGAUUGAUUACGCCGCCCCUCCCCCGCCGCGGGACCCCCGGCUCGGGGCGGGGGAGGGGCGGUAAUGAGGCCCGGCUGGCGCGGGGCGGAGAGCGAGGAAGCGGGACAGUCCCCGAGCCGCGCAGCCCGGCAACCGAGCUCAGCCCCGGAGAGCCGGCAACCUUGGGAGGGACCCUGGGCGCCCCCGACGGACCGGGAGGAGGCACGGGUGGAGCUUCGAGGAGCUGCCUCCGCCGUGCCUCCCUCCUCCCUCGUUUCCUUCGCUCCUUUCGGGAGCCGGUGCCCACCGACCUCCCCUCAGCCUCCCCGCACCGCACGCAGACUCCAGACUCCGCCGCGUCCCGGAGCAGCGCCUGCUACGGAAGAAGGCUGUCCCUGUGGGCUGCUUGGGCUUUCCUGCUCCUGCCCCUGCCCCUGCCCCGCUCCAGCCGCAGUCUCCAGCGGCUUGGGAGAGCACUCGGCGGGCACCGCCUGAUGCCAGUGUGUACACGGUGCCCUGCAGCUCCCGCCCAGAGACCUCAACUUCAACCAAGGAUCCAGAGCCAGUUCAAGGGCAAAAAGAGCACGGCCGAGGUCCCUCGUCGAUCAGGCUGCUCCGCCACAGGGUGACAUCGGCUGUAUAGGACGCCCCCGCCCCGGGUCUUGUUGCUCUGCAUCCUGCAG